UGGGGAAUUUUGGACAAUGGGCGAAAGCCUGAUCCAGCAAUGCCGCGUGUGUGAAGAAGGCCUUCGGGUUGUAAAGCACUUUUGUCCGGAAAGAAAUGGCUCUGGUUAAUACCUGGGGUCGAUGACGGUACCGGAAGAAUAAGGACCGGCUAACUACGUGCCAGCAGCCGCGGUAAUACGUAGGGUCCAAGCGUUAAUCGGAAUUACUGGGCGUAAAGCGUGCGCAGGCGGUUGUGCAAGACCGAUGUGAAAUCCCCGAGCUUAACUUGGGAAUUGCACUGGUGACUGCACGGCUAGAGUGUGUCAGAGGGGGGUAGAAUUCCACGUGUAGCAGUGAAAUGCGUAGAGAUGUGGAGGAAUACCGAUGGCGAAGGCAGCCCCCUGGGAUAACACUGACGCUCAUGCACGAAAGCGUGGGGAGCAAACAGG
Molecule: ribosomal RNA, 429 nt
Filed under: Bacillota bacterium
Lineage: Bacteria; Bacillati; Bacillota
Description: Firmicutes bacterium partial 16S ribosomal RNA
Rfam family: Bacterial small subunit ribosomal RNA
Source: RNAcentral